RNAcentral lists this transfer RNA (72 nucleotides) under Mustela putorius furo (domestic ferret). It matches the Rfam family "tRNA". Rfam says of the family: Transfer RNA (tRNA) molecules are approximately 80 nucleotides in length. Their secondary structure includes four short double-helical elements and three loops (D, anti-codon, and T loops). Further hydrogen bonds mediate the characteristic L-shaped molecular structure. tRNAs have two regions of fundamental functional importance: the anti-codon, which is responsible for specific mRNA codon recognition, and the 3' end, to which the tRNAs corresponding amino acid is attached (by aminoacyl-tRNA synthetases). tRNAs cope with the degeneracy of the genetic code in two manners: having more than one tRNA (with a specific anti-codon) for a particular amino acid; and 'wobble' base-pairing, i.e. permitting non-standard base-pairing at the 3rd anti-codon position. The record is from Rfam by way of RNAcentral. Lineage: Eukaryota; Metazoa; Chordata; Mammalia; Carnivora; Mustelidae.
GCUUGCUGGCUCACGCAGUAGAGCAUGAGACUCUUGAUCUCAGGGUUGUGAGUUCGAGCCCCAUGCUGAGCA